Molecule: ribosomal RNA, 753 nt
Filed under: uncultured Planctomycetota bacterium
Lineage: Bacteria; Pseudomonadati; Planctomycetota
Description: bacterial SSU rRNA
Rfam family: Bacterial small subunit ribosomal RNA
Source: RNAcentral
AGGCGGGCUCGUAGGCAUCCUGUGAAAUCCCACCGCUCGACGGUGGAACUGCAGGGUGAACCACGAGCCUUGAGGCAGGUAGGGGCUGACGGAACCAUGGGUGGAGCGGUGAAAUGCGUAGAUAUCCAUGGGAACGCCGAUGGGGAAGCCGGUCAGCUGGGCCUGUUCUGACGCUCAUGCACGAAAGCGUGGGGAGCAAACAGGAUUAGAUACCCUGGUAGUCCACGCCGUAAACGAUGUGCACUAGAUCGGGGCGGUUCUGACACCGUCUCGGUCGAAGGAAAACCGUUAAGUGCGCCGCCUGGGGAGUACGGUCGCAAGGCUAAAACUCAAAGGAAUUGACGGGGGCUCACACAAGCGGUGGAGCAUGUUGCUUAAUUCGAGGCAACGCGAAGAACCUUAUCCUGGGCUUGACAUGCACGGAUUAGCCGUUGGAAACAUCGGUGACGCCCUUGGGUGGAACGUGCACAGGUGCUGCAUGGCUGUCGUCAGCUCGUGCUGUGAAGUGUCGGGUUAAGUCCCUUAACGAGCGCAACCCCUGUCGUUAGUUGCUAACGGGUGAAGCCGAGUACUCUAACGAGACUGCCGGUGUCAAACCGGAGGAAGGUGGGGAUGACGUCAAGUCCUCAUGGCCUUUAUGUCCAGGGCUGCAAACGUGCUACAAUGGCGCGGACAGAGCGAAGCGAUCCCGCGAGGGGGAGCAAGUCGCAAAAACCGCGCCCCAGUUCGGAUUGCAGGCUGCAACUCGCCUGC